Molecule: ribosomal RNA, 492 nt
Filed under: uncultured bacterium
Lineage: Bacteria
Description: partial 16S ribosomal RNA
Rfam family: Bacterial small subunit ribosomal RNA
Source: RNAcentral
AGUGAACGCUGGCGGUAGGCCUAACACAUGCAAGUCGAACGGCAGCACAGUAAGAGCUUGCUCUUACGGGUGGCGAGUGGCGGACGGGUGAGGAAUACAUCGGAAUCUACUUUUUCGUGGGGGAUAAGGAAGGGAAACUAAGGCUAAAACGCCAUACGACCACCGGGGGAAAGAAGGGGAUUUUCGAACUUUGGGCGUUUGAAGGGGCGGAUGUCGGAUUAGCUAGUUGGCGGGGUAAAGGCCCACCAAGGCGACGAUCCGUAGCUGGUCUGAGAGGAUGAUCCGCCACACUGGAACUGAGACACGGUCCAGACUCCUACGGGAGGCAGCAGUGGGGAAUAUUGGACAAUGGGCGCAAGCCUGAUCCAGCCAUACCGCGUGGGUGAAGAAGGCCUUCGGGUUGUAAAGCCCUUUUGUUGGGAAAGAAAAGCAGCAGGUUAAUACCCCGCUGUUCUGACGGUACCCAAAGAAUAAGCACCGGCUAACUUCGUG